RNAcentral lists this ribosomal RNA (221 nucleotides) under uncultured prokaryote. Its description in RNAcentral is "partial 16S ribosomal RNA". It matches the Rfam family "Bacterial small subunit ribosomal RNA", at positions 524 to 776 of the family's 1533-position model. The record is from RNAcentral.
UACGUAGAAGACUAGUGUUAGUCAUCUUUAUUAGGUUUAAAGGGUACCUAGACGGUAAAUUAAACUCUAAACGAGUACUUUUUUACUAGAGUUUUAUGUGAGAAGGAAGAAUUUCUGGAGUAGGGAUGAAAUACUUUGAUACCAGAAGGACUGGUAACGGCGAAGGCAUCCUUCUAUGUAAAAACUGACGUUGAGGGACGAAGGCUUGGGUAGCAAUAAGG